This 466-nucleotide ribosomal RNA is filed under the name uncultured bacterium. RNAcentral describes it as "partial 16S ribosomal RNA". It matches the Rfam family "Bacterial small subunit ribosomal RNA", at positions 28 to 507 of the family's 1533-position model. The record is from RNAcentral.
GACGAACGCUGGCGGCGCGCCUAACACAUGCAAGUCGAACGAGCGAGAGAGAGCUUGCUUUCUCGAGCGAGUGGCGAACGGGUGAGUAACGCGUGAGGAACCUGCCUCAAAGAGGGGGACAACAGUUGGAAACGACUGCUAAUACCGCAUAAGCCCACGGUGCCGCAUGGCACCGAGGGAAAAGGAGCAAUCCGCUUUGAGAUGGCCUCGCGUCCGAUUAGCUAGUUGGUGGGGUAAUGGCCCACCAAGGCGACGAUCGGUAGACGGACUGAGAGGUUGAACGGCCACAUUGAGACUGAGACACGGCCCAGACUCCUACGGGAGGCAGCAGUGGGGAAUAUUGCACAGUGGGGGAAACCCUGAUGCAGCGACGACGCGUGGAGGAAGAAGGUCUUCGGAUUGUAAACUCCUGUUGUUGGGGAAGAUAUUGACGUUACCAAAAAAGGAAGUGACGGCUAACUACGUG